Molecule: ribosomal RNA, 273 nt
Filed under: uncultured bacterium
Lineage: Bacteria
Description: partial 16S ribosomal RNA
Rfam family: Bacterial small subunit ribosomal RNA
Source: RNAcentral
GACGGAGGGCGCGAGCGUUGUUCGGAAUUACUGGGCGUAAAGCGCGCGCAGGCGGGUGCGCAAGUCGGAGGUGAAAGCGCAGGGCUCAACCCUGCGACGCCCUCCGAGACUGCGUGUCUGGGGACCGGUAGAGGUGAGUGGAAUUCCCGGUGUAGCGGUGGAAUGCGUAGAUAUCGGGAAGAACACCGGAGGCGAAGGCGGCUCACUGGGCCGGAUCCGACGCUGAGGCGCGAAAGCGUGGGGAGCAAACAGGAUUAGAAACCCCAGUAGUCC